GGCGGCGCGCCUAACACAUGCAAGUCGAACGAGAGAUGAGGAGCUCGCUCUUCAAAUCGAGUCGGCGAACGGGUGAGUAACGCGUGAGGAACCUGCCUCAAAGAGGGGGACAACAGUUGGAAACGACUGCUAAUACCGCAUAAGCCCACGGCUCGGCAUCGAGCAGAGGGAAAGGAGCAAUCCGCUUUGAGAUGGCCUCGCGUCCGAUUAGCUAGUUGGUGAGGUAACGGCCCACCAAGGCGACGAUCGGUAGCCGGACUGAGAGGUUGAACGGCCACAUUGGGACUGAGACACGGCCCAGACUCCUACGGGAGGCAGCAGUGGGGAAUAUUGCACAAUGGGGGAAACCCUGAUGCAGCGACGCCGCGUGGAGGAAGAAGGUCUUCGGAUUGUAAACUCCUGUUGUUGAGGAAGAUAAUGACGGUACUCAACAAGGAAGUGACGGCUAACUACGUGCCAGCAGCCGCGGUAAAACGUAGGUCACAAGCGUUGUCCGGAAUUACUGGGUGUAAAGGGAGCGCAGGCGGGAGAACAAGUUGGAAGUGAAAUCCAUGGGCUCAACCCAUGAACUGCUUUCAAAACUGUUUUUCUUGAGUAGUGCAGAGGUAGGCGGAAUUCCCGGUGUAGCGGUGGAAUGCGUAGAUAUCGGGAGGAACACCAGUGGCGAAGGCGGCCUACUGGGCACCAACUGACGCUGAGGCUCGAAAGUGUGGGUAGCAAACAGGAUUAGAUACCCUGGUAGUCCACACCGUAAACGAUGAUUACUAGGUGUUGGAGGAUUGACCCCCUCAGUGCCGCGGUGACGCGAUAAGUAUCCA
RNAcentral lists this ribosomal RNA (818 nucleotides) under uncultured bacterium. RNAcentral describes it as "bacterial SSU rRNA". It matches the Rfam family "Bacterial small subunit ribosomal RNA", at positions 38 to 871 of the family's 1533-position model. The record is from RNAcentral.